AGAACGAACGCUGGCGGCAUGCCUAAUACAUGCAAGUCGAACGAACUCUUCGGAGUUAGUGACGCACGGGUGCGUAACGCGUGGGAAUCUGCCCUUGGGUUCGGAAUAACAGUUGGAAACGACUGCUAAUACCGGAUGAUGACGAAAGUCCAAAGAUUUAUCGCCCAGGGAUGAGCCCGCGUAGGAUUAGCUAGUUGGUGAGGUAAAGGCUCACCAAGGCGACGAUCCUUAGCUGGUCUGAGAGGAUGAUCAGCCACACUGGGACUGAGACACGGCCCAGACUCCUACGGGAGGCAGCAGUAGGGAAUAUUGGACAAUGGGCGAAAGCCUGAUCCAGCAAUGCCGCGUGAGUGAUGAAGGCCUUAGGGUUGUAAAGCUCUUUUACCCGAGAUGAUAAUGACAGUAUCGGAGAAUAAGCCCGGCUAACUCCGUGCCAGCAGCCGC
This 444-nucleotide ribosomal RNA is filed under the name uncultured soil bacterium. RNAcentral describes it as "bacterial SSU rRNA". It matches the Rfam family "Bacterial small subunit ribosomal RNA", at positions 26 to 518 of the family's 1533-position model. The record is from RNAcentral.